This 279-nucleotide ribosomal RNA is filed under the name Triticum aestivum (bread wheat). RNAcentral's name for it is "partial small subunit ribosomal RNA". The record is from RNAcentral. Lineage: Eukaryota; Viridiplantae; Streptophyta; Magnoliopsida; Poales; Poaceae.
AUGGCGAGGACCACGACCAUGCGCGGGGCGACGGUGUGCAUGCUUCUGCUGCUGCUCGUCUCGACGGCCACGGCCACGGCGACGGAGAGCCCCCAGCGCCGGGACCUGGCGGAAGAGGGCACGAGCCCGUCGGCGGCGAGCCCGAGUGCCGACGGCGCCCCGGCCGACAAGGAACCCCCGGAAGGCCACCUCGGCUUCCGCGUCGUCACUGGCCUCAUCGAGAAGGCCACCGGCAAGAGCGCCCGUCUGGACCUGGAGCAAGAGGAGAACGUUCAUUAG